GUCUGCGGCCUAUCAGGUAGUAGUGGGUGUAGCGUACCUACUAGCCUACGACGGGUACGGGUUGUGAGAGCAAGAGCCCGGAGAUGGAUUCUGAGACACGAAUCCAGGCCCUACGGGGUGCAGCAGGCGCGAAAACUUUACAAUGCCGGCAACGGCGAUAAGGGGACCUCGAGUGCCAGGUUACAAAUCUGGCUGUCGUGAUGCCUAAAAAGCAUUGCAUAGCAAGGGCCGGGCAAGACCGGUGCCAGCCGCCGCGGUAACACCGGCGGCUCGAGUGGUAACCGUUAUUAUUGGGUCUAAAGGGUCUGUAGCCGGCCGGAUAAGUCUCUUGAGAAAUCCAGCAGCUCAACUGUUGGGCUUUCAGGAGAUACUGUUCGGCUCGAGGCCGGGAGAGGUGAGAGGUACUUCAGGGGUAGGGGUGAAAUCUUGUAAUCCUUGAAGGACCACCAGUGGCGAAGGCGUCUCACCAGAACGGACCUGACGGCAAGGGACGAAAGCUAGGGGCACGAACCGGAUUAGAUACCCGGGUAGUCCUAGCCGUAAACGAUACUCGCUAGGUGUCGGCCACGGUGCGACCGUUGUCGGUGCCGUAGGGAAGCCGUGAAGCGAGC
RNAcentral lists this ribosomal RNA (611 nucleotides) under uncultured archaeon. RNAcentral describes it as "bacterial SSU rRNA". It matches the Rfam family "Archaeal small subunit ribosomal RNA", at positions 213 to 824 of the family's 1478-position model. The record is from RNAcentral.